This 284-nucleotide unclassified non-coding RNA is filed under the name Sistotrema diademiferum. RNAcentral describes it as "partial contains 5.8S ribosomal RNA, internal transcribed spacer 2, and large subunit ribosomal RNA". Lineage: Eukaryota; Fungi; Basidiomycota; Agaricomycetes; Cantharellales; Hydnaceae. The record is from RNAcentral.
CGCACCUUGCACUCUUUGGUAUUCCGAAGAGUACGCCUGUUCGAGCGUCAUGAAAUUCUCAAGUCUUUAGUUCUUUUCUAAAGAUUUGGAUUUGGACCUUUGCAACUGAAAUACUGUUGCUGGUCCUAAAUAUAUUAGUCUAUAUGGGAGUAUUGAGACUACUCGGCGUGAUAAAUUUCAUCGUUGGGGAAAUCGAGACUUUUCAAGGCUUUCUAAUCGUCAUUCAUGACAAAACGAGUUCAAAAUCUGACCUCGAAUCAGGUGGGACUACCCGCUGAACUUAA